This 293-nucleotide ribosomal RNA is filed under the name uncultured bacterium. RNAcentral's name for it is "partial 16S ribosomal RNA". The record is from RNAcentral.
GGACUACUGGGGUAUCUAAUCCCGUUCGCUCCCCAUGCUGUCGUGUCUGAGCGUCAGGUGCGAGCCAGGGCGCCGCCUUCGCCUCUGGGGUUCCUCCGGAUCUCUACGCAUUUCACCACUACACCCGGAAUUCCACGCCCCUCUCUCGCCCUCUUAGUCACUCAGUCUGGCAUAACCUAGCGCGGUUGAGCCGCGCCCUUUCAUACACCACUUGAGUGACCGCCUGCACACGCUUUACGCCCAGUAAAUCCGGAUAACGCUUGCCACCUACGUUUUACCGCGGCUGCUGGCAC